This 194-nucleotide ribosomal RNA is filed under the name uncultured Bacillus sp. RNAcentral's name for it is "partial 16S ribosomal RNA". It matches the Rfam family "Bacterial small subunit ribosomal RNA", at positions 338 to 524 of the family's 1533-position model. Lineage: Bacteria; Bacillati; Bacillota; Bacilli; Caryophanales; Bacillaceae. The record is from RNAcentral.
CCUACGGGAGGCAGCAGUAGGGAAUCUUCCGCAAUGGACGAAAGUCUGACGGAGCAACGCCGCGUGAGCGAUGAAGGCCUUCGGGUCGUAAAGCCUUGUUGUCAGGGAAGAACAAGUAUCGGAGUAACUGCCGGUACCUUGACGGUACCUGACCAGAAAGCCACGGCUAACUACGUGCCAGCAGCCGCGGUAAU